Molecule: long non-coding RNA, 410 nt
Filed under: Lathyrus oleraceus (garden pea)
Lineage: Eukaryota; Viridiplantae; Streptophyta; Magnoliopsida; Fabales; Fabaceae
Description: Pisum sativum (pea) long non-coding RNA (PSAT_LNC028394)
Source: RNAcentral
UUAAAAAUGGUACUGUGGAAGCAUAAAGAUCACUAAGGGCUUUUCGGUUGAAGCUUGGUUAGGUUAACAAACAAGGGUCAUUUCUAAGGCCAUUGAAACGAAAGUGCCGAUGCAAAAGAGACAUUCACAGUAUUAUUCACACUACUCGACUUUGUUUCAUUUGUUUCUUAUUUGAAACCUUCACAACACAAAUUCCACAACUCAAUUUUUAUUUUUCACUAUUUUUCUUCCAAGCAAGCACUCAUUUUCAUUUUUUUCUAUUUUGUUCUUUUCUUUCACAUCAAAUAUACAAACAGAUGUUUCUUUUCUAUAUUUUUUAUACAUAUAUUUUUCUACGCUUGCUCGGUUUUUCUUUUCUUUUUCAAGAGUUGUGGUACUUACCAAUUUUUUUUCGUUCUCCCCAACUUAUU